UAGGGCGUUUAGUAUUUGGUCGUAGACCCGAAACCAGGUGAUCUACCCUUGGUCAGGUUGAAGUUCAGGUAACACUGAAUGGAGGACCGAACCGACUUACGUUGAAAAGUGAGCGGAUGAACUGAGGGUAGCGGAGAAAUUCCAAUCGAACCUGGAGAUAGCUGGUUCUCUCCGAAAUAGCUUUAGGGCUAGCCUCAAGUGAUGAUUAUUGGAGGUAGAGCACUGUUUGGACGAGGGGCCCCUCUCGGGUUACCGAAUUCAGACAAACUCCGAAUGCCAAUUAAUUUAACUUGGGAGUCAGAACAUGGGUGAUAAGGUCCGUGUUCGAAAGGGAAACAGCCCAGACCACCAGCUAAGGUCCCAAAAUAUAUGUUAAGUGGAAAAGGAUGUGGCGUUGCCCAGACAACUAGGAUGUUGGCUUAGAAGCAGCCAUCAUUUAAAGAGUGCGUAAUAGCUCACUAGUCGAGUGACACUGCGCCGAAAAUGUACCGGGGCUAAACAUAUUACCGAAGCUGUGGAUUGUCCUUUGGACAAUGGUAGGAGAGCGUUCUAAGGGCGUUGAAGCAUGAUCGUAAGGACAUGUGGAGCGCUUAGAAGUGAGAAUGCCGGUGUGAGUAGCGAAAGACGGGUGAGAAUCCCGUCCACCGAUUGACUAAGGUUUCCAGAGGAAGGCUCGUCCGCUCUGGGUUAGUCGGGUCCUAAGCUGAGGCCGACAGGCGUAGGCGAUGGAUAACAGGUUGAUAUUCCUGUACCACCUAUAAUCGUUUUA
Molecule: ribosomal RNA, 769 nt
Filed under: Staphylococcus aureus
Lineage: Bacteria; Bacillati; Bacillota; Bacilli; Caryophanales; Staphylococcaceae
Description: partial 23S ribosomal RNA
Rfam family: Bacterial large subunit ribosomal RNA
Source: RNAcentral